UUCAAAAAAAUUCAUUCUUACUUUGUGAUCAACAAAUUGCAGAAUCGAACUAUUGCCAACACCACCCCUCAUAUCGAGGUCCGGGCGACAGAAAGUGAAGCAGAAGAAGAAACGACUCCACGCCAGCUUUAAGAACAAUUGAGGUUGAGCAGGCGAUGGAAUGGAUCGGUGUUGAGUGGAUUUCCCUUUUGAUGUUUAUGUAAUGAAACCUUGAGUAUGCAUCUCCAUAUGCAUAACUCACACGUUUUUCCGCUGCAAACACUCUGAAUUUGUUAUCGUAUUGUGGAACUUAUUACUCCUUCAUUUUGUUUAACUUUCAUUUGGGGUUUAGUCGUUAUGGCUGGCUCAUUUGUUAAUUACCCAAGUGGUUAUAUAUAUAUAUACCACUAGUUUGUU
Long non-coding RNA from Salvia miltiorrhiza (redroot sage), 396 nucleotides. RefSeq lists it as uncharacterized. The record is from RefSeq and is a predicted model, not a curated record. Lineage: Eukaryota; Viridiplantae; Streptophyta; Magnoliopsida; Lamiales; Lamiaceae. The transcript has 3 exons.